AUGGUGGCGAUGCAUGACCCGAUGGGGUCGGCCCUGUCGUGGCUCAUCUACAACCUCGCCACGCACCCGCACGCCAUGCUUGCCAUCCGCGAGGAGCUGGCGCCCAUCGCCGCCGCACGACGCAAAUCUGCCAGGGGCGUCGUGGUGUUUGAGCCAGACGAGACCAAAGACCUAGUGUACCAGCGCGCGGCCAUGUUCGAGUCACUGAGGCUGUACCCGAUCGCGCCCAUGGAGCGCAAGGAGGUCCUCGCCGACGACCUGCUGCCUAGCGGCCACAAGGUGCGGGCCGGCAGCACCAUCCUGAUCUCCACCUACAGCAUGGGGAGAUUGGAGGAGGUGUGGGGAGAGGACUGCCGGGAGUACAGGCCGGAGAGGUGGCUGUCAUCCAACGCAGACGGGAGCGGCCACACGCUGCGGCACGUGCCGUCUCAUGAGUUCGUCGCAUUCAACACCGGACCGAGGGCGUGCCUCGGCAAGAACAUCUCCGUGGCGCUGGUGACAUCCAUCGUCGCCACGGUGGCGUGGAACUUCGAUGUGGAGGUGCUGCAUAGUAACACCGUGAAGCCUAAGCUGUCGGUUAUUCUGCAGAUGAAGAACAGGCUCAUGGCCAAAGUUAAGAGGAGAUCAGAGGGCGACUGA
RNAcentral lists this ribosomal RNA (639 nucleotides) under Triticum aestivum (bread wheat). Its description in RNAcentral is "partial small subunit ribosomal RNA". The record is from RNAcentral. Lineage: Eukaryota; Viridiplantae; Streptophyta; Magnoliopsida; Poales; Poaceae.